UUCACAAGGAACAAAGUGAAUGGCUACUGUUUUGAUUUAAAGCUUUUAAAUCAAAAGAAUACAUCUUCUACUCACAAGUGUCCAGGAAGAACAAUAGUGAUUUAAAAUCACUUUUCGGGGAAUUGUGUUAGUUUAAGUUGAUAGUUUACCCUUCAACCCUCACCUACCGUAAUGUAAACUCUUAAUGUAACAGUAGGGAGCGUAAGAAAAGUGAGGAAGCAGAGAAAAGGUUCCACACCGUACAGACAGUCAGUAAAAAAAGAGGUAAGCGUGCACAGCAACCGAAAAAUUAAAAAAGCUCAGCUGGAACCUCUGAGAACAAUGACUUAGACCGGCCAAUCACAGCGCGCCUACUUUUCACUCAACGUCCUAAUUCUGGCCAAUGACCAGCUCCAAUGGGCGGGGCCAGCCUUGACGCACUGAGGCUCGUGAUUGACGCAAGCUUUCUAAAUUUAGCCGAUGGCGGGCGGAGGCAGAGUGAGAUAGUAGAGAACCCAUUCAUUGCGCCAGCCCAACUAUUCUAGCGUUGCGACUAUGAUCCGGCCAAGCCAAAUAUAGUCGUAGACAGGUAUUUUUAGCCUCAAAGCGUGUCCCCGUUUUCAUUCGUAAAGGCAACCUGAGCGGCAUGGGAUCGGUGUGAAGGAAGCCACGGCUCCUCCAUUAGCACAUCAUUUGUAAACACGUUUCAAUAGUUUCACAGUCAUCUGCUGUUUCCUUCUCAGAGAUGUCACAGCAACAGAAGCCACACACUCAGAUGUUGUGAGCUUUCUCUGUCCGCGUGGAAAAGACCGGAAAAGUGGAGAGACGAAAAAGCACACACAUGCAACAGCGGGCUGGGCUAUCAGCUGCUUCCUCUGUGACCUCACUGCCGUGACGUGUAAAUCCAGAUUAACCUCCUCGCUUAUUCUGCCAGACGUACAAAGUGAAUAUGUGAAAACAACGGCCAGCUGCUGACUUCACACCAGCCUGUGUCUCAUCUGUAAGGUUUCCAGUGAGCUGCCAACCAUUCAUGGCUGAAUACAUCUUUUGUCCCCUGCGGGCAAAUGUAGGUGAGUUGUGGGAACUGGUGACUGAGGGAUUCUUUCCAAAGCAUUCUGAGCACGAAGAUUUUGAUUUAAUGACCGUUUCCUCUGAGUAAAAGAAAAAAACCCAGAAACAAAGUGGAAAAAAAACACUUAUUUUUUUUCCCUCAAUUCUGCUGCAAUUUUCCUGGAGCAGGACAUGGGAAUGAACUAAAGACAUAAACAAGGUACAGAAAAAGUCUAAAAAAAAAAUAAAUAAAAGCUAAAAUACAUUUUUUUACUCAAGCAGAGUAACUUAUCUCUAGAAAAUCAUUAACAGAUGUGGUCGUUUUACAGCCGCUGUAUUUGAACCUGUCUUUGUUGUUGUAUAGUAUAUGUUAAAAAUUCACUUUAUGCUUAAAAACUCUGGAUAUUGUAGGCCUAUUACUACCAAAAUUUAACUGAAUGGUUUCUGAAAACAACUGAAGAAAAAACAUUCAUUUCAUUAAAC
Cynoglossus semilaevis (tongue sole) is the source of this 1512-nucleotide long non-coding RNA. RefSeq lists it as uncharacterized. The record is from RefSeq and is a predicted model, not a curated record. The transcript is spliced from 4 exons. Lineage: Eukaryota; Metazoa; Chordata; Actinopteri; Pleuronectiformes; Cynoglossidae.